This 774-nucleotide ribosomal RNA is filed under the name uncultured Neocallimastigales. RNAcentral's name for it is "partial large subunit ribosomal RNA". It matches the Rfam family "Eukaryotic large subunit ribosomal RNA", at positions 24 to 644 of the family's 3401-position model. Lineage: Eukaryota; Fungi; Neocallimastigomycota; Neocallimastigomycetes; Neocallimastigales. The record is from RNAcentral.
UAUCUCUGUAGAGUCUGCAUAUCAAUAAGCGGAGGAAAAGAAACUAACAAGGAUUCCCUUAGUAACGGCGAGUGAAGCGGGAGGAGCUCAAAUUUGAAAUCUUCAAGGUUCUACCUUGACGAAUUGUAGUUUAAAGAAGUGUUUUCUGUUAGAUGAGUAGGCAAAAGUUCCUUGGAAUGGGACAUCAUAGAGGGUGAGAAUCCCGUAUUUGGUUAUUCAUUCUAGCUUUGUGAUACACUUUCAAAGAGUCGGAUUGUUUGGGAAUGCAGUCCAAAAUGGGUGGUAAAUUUCAUCUAAAGCUAAAUAUUGGCGAGAGACCGAUAGCGAACAAGUACCGUGAGGGAAAGAUGAAAAGAACUUUGAAAGAGAGUUAAACAGUACGUGAAAUUGUCAAAAGGGAAGCGUUUGACACCAGUGUUGUUUUUCCGAAAAUCAAUUACGAAUGGCUUGAUUUUGUGUUGUAUUGACCUUAUCAGCUUUCUGCACUUUUUUCGAGUCUUUCUUAAUGCACUUUUCGGUUAACAAGUCAACAUCAAUUUCUUUUGUUGUAAAAGAGUAUUCGGAAGGUGGCUUUCUUUUCGGAGAAAGUGUUUAUAGCCCUAUACUUCUACAAUCGGAGAGGUUGAGGUCUGCAGCGUAGAUCCUUCGGGGUUAGAUACAUUUGUGCUAAGUUGUAGCUUUUCAUAGACAACUUGUUGACUAUGCUUAGUCAUGCGGCUUACUCGCUUAUGCUAUUUUACCUACGCUUAGGAUGUUGAACUACUGAGACAUAGA